GACGAACGCUGGCGGCGUGCUUAACACAUGCAAGUCGAACGGAAAGGCCCUGCUUUUGUGGGGUGCUCGAGUGGCGAACGGGUGAGUAACACGUGAGUAACCUGCCCUUGACUGUGGGAUAACUUCAGGAAACUGGGGCUAAUACCGGAGAGGAGCUCCUGCUGCAUGGUGGGGGUUGGAAAGUUUCGGCGGUUGGGGAUGGACUCGCGGCUUAUCAGCUUGUUGGUGGGGUAGUGGCGUACCAAGGCUUUGACGGGUAGCCGGCCUGAGAGGGUGACCGGCCACAUUGGGACUGAGAUGCGGCCCAGACUCCUACGGGACGCAGCAGUGGGGAAUGUUGCACGAUGGGCGGCAGCCUGAUGCAGCAACGCCGCGUGCGGGAUGACGGCCUUCGGGUUGUAAACCGCUUUCGCCUGUGACGAAGCGUGAGUGACGGUAAUGGGUAAAGAAGCACCGGCUAACUACGUG
This 468-nucleotide ribosomal RNA is filed under the name uncultured bacterium. Its description in RNAcentral is "partial 16S ribosomal RNA". It matches the Rfam family "Bacterial small subunit ribosomal RNA", at positions 28 to 507 of the family's 1533-position model. The record is from RNAcentral.